CCAGACAAGACGGCUAGACACAUUAUGAGUAUCUUAAACAAAGAGCCAGUCGACAAAGUCCGCAUAGAGAGGGAGAUUCCUAAUUAUAGCCUGGAUGUAUUAUUCAACGAGAGUUGUAAGUACCAAUUCCUAAGAACAAGCGGCAGCAGUCUACACUGGAAGGCAUCGUCAUAGAAAGGCACAAUGCUGGGAUCGCUACAACUUGAACGAGGACAUAUGCAGGAGUCUACACUGGAACGAGGCACCAUUGCUAUGAGCUUUUGAGUACAGAUACAAAGUGUAUUACAUAGUGCGAGACCCGCAAAAAAAAAAUAGUGCGAGGACAUAUGCUAUUUCUAUAAGCUGAACACCUGCAUCCAAAGCUGUUUGAAGGAAGGAGGCAAAGACGUCUCUUAUUUUCCAUGGCACCUACUGGACAGAAAUGGAGUGUGCUGUUGUAGAUGUAACAAGUGAUGGGUUACCUGUGAAGGUUACUUGCUGUAGCUGUAGCAUUCGCACCACCUUUGGUGUUAGAAGGAGAGUUGUUGCUUCAGCCUAAAGUGGUGUGCGAACCUGUUAUGCUGAAGCUGGUAUCGUCACAUAUUCAUGUUGGAUUUGGUCCGGGCGAUUUUAAUGUGAAGAAUAGAACAAUGCCAGUUGCUUGUAAGCCAUGUCUGCUGGUGGUUUCCUAAUUAAAUUUCCACAAGGAGUCGCAGAAAUUUUUGUUUCCUGCAAUAUGAAGAUUAAGUUUGCCUAUUUUUGUGGGGCGUUGAGGUUGUCGCAGCAUGGACGCAAAUCAGACAAGCGAGGCCUACUUUGUCUGCACCUUCGAAUGGACGUGUUGCUGCAGUCACCUUCAUCUGUCGUAAUUGUAACGAUUAAAAAUUAUAAAUAGCUCAGAGUUAAUUAGUGAGAGCGUCCAGGAACUUAUGGAGAAAGUUCAGAGGCUCUGUAGUGAUUUUGGACUAUCAGCUCAGGUCACCAACAGAAUGCAUACACAAGUAAAUAACUUGAUGGUUUUGGCUGAAAGUUUAGGAUGUUAUUAUCCUCGACCUGUUCCAAAUCAGGUCCAGGCUCUACAACAAGUCUCAUCAGUGGUGCUCCCUCGUUACUGCGAAGAGUCUGAUAAGUGAAAGCCUACAGGGAAAUAUUUCUUCUCAAGUAGCAGAGGCAGAAAAAUGCACACUCAGAAACUUACAAAAACGAAGGUGAUGGCUGUUGCAGUUUCAUUUGGUUGCUCAGAAGGACCGGGUAACAGGUGAUGAAGCUGUUAUCUCCUUGUGUUCGCAUUUAAUCCAGAUCAUAACUCUGUUUCUGCAGAUCUUACAUUUGGUAGUCCACAACCAUUCAACACUCACAUGUCCUUGCGAUAUUCUACCUCAUCGACAGAUAGUUAAAUUAUCUCUGCUUUGGCUCCAUCAGGUACAUGGACUGAUGAUGAUCUCAUGCAUGACAUACAAGACUAAUUUCCAAUCCAUGCAGAUUGAAGAAGAGCAGUAUCACGCCAUGCAUUUCUGGAGGCUUGUUUUACAGUACCUUUUACCUCUCCUAAAAAUGGAGAGGUAUGAUUUCUUCAAUGGUUAGGAUUAAGCGGCCCGGAAGCCCAGCAAGAUGUAAAAAAAAGUGGGGAAAAGUUAAAUUUAGUACGUA
Molecule: long non-coding RNA, 1629 nt
Organism: Lolium rigidum
Lineage: Eukaryota; Viridiplantae; Streptophyta; Magnoliopsida; Poales; Poaceae
Exons: 7
Source: RefSeq, a predicted model, not a curated record